Molecule: ribosomal RNA, 404 nt
Filed under: Leclercera spinata
Lineage: Eukaryota; Metazoa; Arthropoda; Arachnida; Araneae; Ochyroceratidae
Description: partial 16S ribosomal RNA
Source: RNAcentral
CCUGCUCAAUGAAAUAUUAAAUAGCCGCGAUUAAUCGUGCUAAGGUAGCAUAAUAAUUUGUCUUCUAAUUAAAGAAUAGAAUAAAAGGAAAAACGAAUAAUUAACUUUAUUAACUUUUAAUAAUUAAACUAAAUUAAUUGUAAAAAUGCAAUUAUAUAAAAAAUAGACAAUAAGACCCUUAUAAAUUUUACUAUAAGUUUAGCUGGGGUGGCAAAAUUAUUAAAACUAUUAAUUUAAUAAAAUUAAAAAUUUUUUAAAAUUCUAAAUUACUAAAGGGAUAACAGAAUAAUUUUAUUUUAAAGUUCUUAUUAAAAAUAAAUAUUAUAACCUCGAUGUUGAAUUAAAAUUACUAUAUUAUGAAAAAAUAAAAAAAGUAAGUCUGUUCGACUUUUAAAAUUUUACAU